GACGUAGGGGGCGAGCGUUGUCCGGAUUUAUUGGGCGUAAAGCGUGCGUAGGCGGCUGCGCAAGUCGGUUGUGAAACCCCGGGGCUCAACCCCGGAACUGCAUCCGAUACUGCGUGGCUAGAGGUAGGCAGGGGAGAACGGAAUUCCUGGUGUAGCGGUGAAAUGCGCAGAUAUCAGGAGGAACACCGGUGGCGAAGGCGGUUCUCUGGGCAUGUCCUGACGCUGAGGAGCGAAAGUGUGGGGAGCGAACAGG
Molecule: ribosomal RNA, 253 nt
Filed under: uncultured bacterium
Lineage: Bacteria
Description: partial 16S ribosomal RNA
Rfam family: Bacterial small subunit ribosomal RNA
Source: RNAcentral